AAUCAACGCUGGCGGCGUGCCUAACACAUGCAAGUCGAACGCGAAAGUCCCGCAAGGGAUUAGUAGAGUGGCAAACGGGUGAGUAACACGUGGGUGACCUGCCUUCGAGUGGGGGAUAACGUCCCGAAAGGGACGCUAAUACCGCAUAACAUCCUGCCUUUGAAGAGGUGGAGAUCAAAGCUGGGGACCGCAAGGCCUGGCGCUGGAAGAGGGGCCCNCGUCUGAUUAGCUAGNGGUGAGGUAACGGCUCACCAAGGCAACGAUCAGUAUCCGGCCUGAGAGGGCGGACGGACACACUGGGACUGAGACACGGCCCAGACUCCUACGGGAGGCAGCAGUGGGGAAUUGUUCGCAAUGGGCGCAAGCCUGACGACGCAACGCCGCGUGGAGGA
This 392-nucleotide ribosomal RNA is filed under the name uncultured bacterium. RNAcentral describes it as "bacterial SSU rRNA". It matches the Rfam family "Bacterial small subunit ribosomal RNA", at positions 29 to 408 of the family's 1533-position model. The record is from RNAcentral.